Molecule: ribosomal RNA, 1471 nt
Filed under: Staphylococcus aureus
Lineage: Bacteria; Bacillati; Bacillota; Bacilli; Caryophanales; Staphylococcaceae
Description: bacterial LSU rRNA
Rfam family: Bacterial large subunit ribosomal RNA
Source: RNAcentral
UUAAGUUAUUAAGGGCGCACGGUGGAUGCCUUGGCACUAGAAGCCGAUGAAGGACGUUACUAACGACGAUAUGCUUUGGGGAGCUGUAAGUAAGCUUUGAUCCAGAGAUUUCCGAAUGGGGAAACCCAGCAUGAGUUAUGUCAUGUUAUCGAUAUGUGAAUACAUAGCAUAUCAGAAGGCACACCCGGAGAACUGAAACAUCUUAGUACCCGGAGGAAGAGAAAGAAAAUUCGAUUCCCUUAGUAGCGGCGAGCGAAACGGGAAGAGCCCAAACCAACAAGCUUGCUUGUUGGGGUUGUAGGACACUCUAUACGGAGUUACAAAGGACGACAUUAGACGAAUCAUCUGGAAAGAUGAAUCAAAGAAGGUAAUAAUCCUGUAGUCGAAAAUGUUGUCUCUCUUGAGUGGAUCCUGAGUACGACGGAGCACGUGAAAUUCCGUCGGAAUCUGGGAGGACCAUCUCCUAAGGCUAAAUACUCUCUAGUGACCGAUAGUGAACCAGUACCGUGAGGGAAAGGUGAAAAGCACCCCGGAAGGGGAGUGAAAUAGAACCUGAAACCGUGUGCUUACAAGUAGUCAGAGCCCGUUAAUGGGUGAUGGCGUGCCUUUUGUAGAAUGAACCGGCGAGUUACGAUUUGAUGCAAGGUUAAGCAGUAAAUGUGGAGCCGUAGCGAAAGCGAGUCUGAAUAGGGCGUUUAGUAUUUGGUCGUAGACCCGAAACCAGGUGAUCUACCCUUGGUCAGGUUGAAGUUCAGGUAACACUGAAUGGAGGACCGAACCGACUUACGUUGAAAAGUGAGCGGAUGAACUGAGGGUAGCGGAGAAAUUCCAAUCGAACCUGGAGAUAGCUGGUUCUCUCCGAAAUAGCUUUAGGGCUAGCCUCAAGUGAUGAUUAUUGGAGGUAGAGCACUGUUUGGACGAGGGGCCCCUCUCGGGUUACCGAAUUCAGACAAACUCCGAAUGCCAAUUAAUUUAACUUGGGAGUCAGAACAUGGGUGAUAAGGUCCGUGUUCGAAAGGGAAACAGCCCAGACCACCAGCUAAGGUCCCAAAAUAUAUGUUAAGUGGAAAAGGAUGUGGCGUUGCCCAGACAACUAGGAUGUUGGCUUAGAAGCAGCCAUCAUUUAAAGAGUGCGUAAUAGCUCACUAGUCGAGUGACACUGCGCCGAAAAUGUACCGGGGCUAAACAUAUUACCGAAGCUGUGGAUUGUCCUUUGGACAAUGGUAGGAGAGCGUUCUAAGGGCGUUGAAGCAUGAUCGUAAGGACAUGUGGAGCGCUUAGAAGUGAGAAUGCCGGUGUGAGUAGCGAAAGACGGGUGAGAAUCCCGUCCACCGAUUGACUAAGGUUUCCAGAGGAAGGCUCGUCCGCUCUGGGUUAGUCGGGUCCUAAGCUGAGGCCGACAGGCGUAGGCGAUGGAUAACAGGUUGAUAUUCCUGUACCACCUAUAAUCGUUUUAAUCGAUGGGGGGGAC